Molecule: long non-coding RNA, 683 nt
Organism: Trematomus bernacchii (emerald rockcod)
Lineage: Eukaryota; Metazoa; Chordata; Actinopteri; Perciformes; Nototheniidae
Exons: 2
Source: RefSeq, a predicted model, not a curated record
UUUGCUCAGACCAGGAGAGCAGGUGCUGCUUUAGACCUGAUGUGGUCCCUCUGUUUGCUCAGACCAGGAGAGCAGAUGGAAACACCAGAGCUACCAUGAGCUUCUCUGAACAGUCCCUCCAGGCUGAAAGGGUAUUGAUCAUUUUCUAAUCAUAAAUCUAUCGAUUAGAUUUAUGAUAGACUUUUGAAACUAGAGGGAAAUAAGGAGGACUUUCACAAAGUAGAGACUGUUGUCAGAAGGAGAGCUUCGUCUUCAAGGUGAGACCCCCAUGAGCAUGGGGUCUCACUAAGAGAGAACAAUCCAACAUUUAGAUUGAGUAUCCUUUUGUUGAACCGUCUGUUUCAAAUGAAUCCAAGCAUCAGAAUAAAAAAGCUUUUGAAAACAACAGAAUAUUAGUUUUUAUGUGAAAAUAUAAUAAAACCUGAAGAGUCGGAGCCUCACCUUUUGUACAACUUGUUAUCAGCUAAAGGGUAACUGGACCUCUUCAUGUAAAUGUCUCGAAGUGGGAGGAGUUACCAAGUGGGAGGAGUUACCAAGUGGGAGGAGUUACCAAGUGGGAGGAGUUACCACGUGGGAGGAGUUACAACGUGGGAGGAGUUACCAAGUGGGAGGAGUUACCUGCGGGUCCUCCAGCGUGCGCAGGUUCAGCAGGUGAAGGUCACACGGCAGAGAGGAGCGCAGCG